Molecule: long non-coding RNA, 316 nt
Filed under: Olea europaea (common olive)
Lineage: Eukaryota; Viridiplantae; Streptophyta; Magnoliopsida; Lamiales; Oleaceae
Description: long non-coding RNA (OEUR_LNC001710)
Source: RNAcentral
UGUCAUUUUUCUCUAUAGUCUUAAUCUCUUCAUCCAUAGCAUCUCUCCAUCUUUUAUUUUGCACCGCGUCUUCAUACCCUAUUGGUUCACAAUCGACAAAAAGACAAAAAAGUGUGAGAUCAUUUUGAUUUUCGGUUACCUCAUAUAGCUCUUGUAGGCUCCUCAUCCGUGGUGUCCUUUCGCUUGAACUUUCUCCUUGUGAAGAUGAUGGAGAAGCAUUUCCAUGAGUAGGUGAUAGAGGUGGACUGAUAAUCUCUUGCUGCUCUCCAUUCUUUUGUUCUUCUUCAUAAAAGAAUGGUAAGAAGUCAUAGUCUUC